This 292-nucleotide ribosomal RNA is filed under the name uncultured bacterium. Its description in RNAcentral is "partial 16S ribosomal RNA". It matches the Rfam family "Bacterial small subunit ribosomal RNA", at positions 505 to 796 of the family's 1533-position model. The record is from RNAcentral.
GUGUCAGCCGCCGCGGUAAUACGUAGGCAGCAAGCGUUGUUCGGAGUUACUGGGCGUAAAGAGUGCGUAGGCGGUGCCCCAAGUCUGUUGUGAAAUCUCCCGGCUUAACUGGGAGGGUGCGGUGGAAACUGGGGUGCUUGAGUGUGGGAGAGGUAAGCGGAAUUCCUGGUGUAGCGGUGAAAUGCGUAGAUAUCAGGAGGAACACCGGUGGUGUAGACGGCUUACUGGACCACGACUGACGCUGAGGCACGAAAGCGUGGGUAGCAAACAGGAUUAGAAACCCCGGUAGUCC